Molecule: ribosomal RNA, 497 nt
Filed under: uncultured bacterium
Lineage: Bacteria
Description: partial 16S ribosomal RNA
Rfam family: Bacterial small subunit ribosomal RNA
Source: RNAcentral
GGUGAACGCUGGCGGCGUGCCUAAUACAUGCAAGUCGAACGAACGGACGAUAAGCUUUCUUCUCUGAUGUUAGCGGCGGACGGGUGAGUAACACGUGGAUAACCUACCUAUAAGACUGGGAGAACUUCGGAGAACCGUAGCUAAUACCGGAUAAUAUUUUGAACCGCAUGGAUCAAAAGUGAAAGACGGUCUUGCUGUCACUUAUAGAUGAAUCCGCGCUGCAUUAGCUAGUUGGUAAGGUAACGGCUUACCAAGGCAACGAUGCAUAGCCGACCUGAGAGGGUGAUCGGCCACACUGGAACUGAGACACGGUCCAGACUCCUACGGGAGGCAGCAGUAGGGAAUCUUCCGCAAUGGGCGAAAGCCUGACGGAGCAAUGCCGCGUGAGUGAUGAAGGUCUUCGGAUCGUAAAACUCUGUUAUUAGGGAAGAACAUAUGUGUAAGUAACUGUGCACAUCUUGACGGUACCUAAUCAGAAAGCCACGGCUAACUUCGUG